GAUGAACGCUGGCGGCGUGCCUAAUACAUGCAAGUAGAACGCUGAAGGAGGAGCUUGCUCUUCUGGUUGAGUUGCGAACGGGUGAGUAACGCGUAGGUAACCUGCCUGGUAGCGGGGGAUAACUAUUGGAAACGAUAGCUAAUACCGCAUGACAACAGUUAUUGCAUGAUAACUGUUUAAAAGGGGCAACUGCUCCACUACCAGAUGGACCUGCGUUGUAUUAGCUAGUUGGUGAGGUAACGGCUCACCAAGGCGACGAUACAUAGCCGAGCUGAGAGGGGGAACGGCCACACUGGGGCUGAGACACGGCCCAGACUCCUACGGGAGGCAGCAGUAGGGAAUCUACGGAAAUGGAGGGAAGUCUGACCGAGCAACGCCACGUGAGUGAAGAAGGUUUUCGGAUCGUAAGGCUCUGUUGUAAGAGAAGACCGAGUGUGAGAGUGGAAAGGUCACACUGUGACGGUAUCUUACCAGAAAGGGACGGCUAACUACGUG
RNAcentral lists this ribosomal RNA (495 nucleotides) under uncultured bacterium. RNAcentral describes it as "partial 16S ribosomal RNA". It matches the Rfam family "Bacterial small subunit ribosomal RNA", at positions 28 to 507 of the family's 1533-position model. The record is from RNAcentral.